GGACAGGCAAGCCCUAAGCUUGCCCGUUUGGGCAGAGGGAUCCUCCUCCCAUCACCGCUGCUUGUCAAAUAACUGCUGAAGUUGAAGCUUCUGCUGGCUGAACCUAGCAUCUCAGAGCCCAGCCCAGGACGAUCCGUGGAGAGCUACCAGCAGGACUGGAAGUGUGGAGUGCAGCAAGACUUUGGAGCUCUUCUCAGUUCUCUCCACAUGCCCUGGCUUCUGUUGAACUUAGUGCUCUUCUUUUCCUGAUCCCAUCCCCAGCCAGCCUUUCUCUUUAAAAAUACCUCUUUAGAUGAUGUUGAAGAUCCCUUCUAGCCUAAGCCAUUCUAUGGCAUUGCUCUUGUCCUGACUUGCUUCUUGUA
This is a long non-coding RNA of Pogoniulus pusillus (Red-fronted tinkerbird), 362 nucleotides long. RefSeq lists it as uncharacterized. The record is from RefSeq and is a predicted model, not a curated record. The transcript is spliced from 2 exons. NCBI's taxonomy places the organism in Eukaryota, Metazoa, Chordata, Aves, Piciformes, Lybiidae.